AUUGAACGCUGGCGGAAUGCUUUACACAUGUAAGUCGAACGGCAGCACGGGGGCAACCCUGGUGGCGAGUGGCGAACGGGUGAGUAAUACAUCGGAACGUGCCCAGUCGUGGGGGAUAACGUAGCGAAAGUUACGCUAAUACCGCAUACGAUCUACGGAUGAAAGCGGGGGGCCGUAAGGCCUCGCGCGAUUGGAGCGGCCGAUGUCAGAUUAGGUAGUUGGUGAGGUAAAGGCUCACCAAGCCGACGAUCUGUAGCUGGUCUGAGAGGACGACCAGCCACACUGGGACUGAGACACGGCCCAGACUCCUACGGGAGGCAGCAGUGGGGAAUUUUGGACAAUGGGCGCAAGCCUGAUCCAGCCAUUCCGCGUGCAGGACGAAGGCCUUCGGGUUGUAAACUGCUUUUGUACGGAACGAAAAGGCUCUGGUUAAUACCUGGGGCUCAUGACGGUACCGUAAGAAUAAGCACCGGCUAACUACGUGCCAGCAGCCGCAGUAA
Molecule: ribosomal RNA, 500 nt
Filed under: uncultured bacterium
Lineage: Bacteria
Description: partial 16S ribosomal RNA
Rfam family: Bacterial small subunit ribosomal RNA
Source: RNAcentral